This 537-nucleotide long non-coding RNA is filed under the name Bos taurus (domestic cattle). RNAcentral describes it as "long non-coding RNA NONBTAT017665". The record is from RNAcentral. Lineage: Eukaryota; Metazoa; Chordata; Mammalia; Artiodactyla; Bovidae.
CAGAGAUGGCUUUAGGGAUGGAGAUGCUGCUUGAGGAGCCCGCAGAUAAGUUUUUCUAUUAAAAAAGAUAGGCGUUAGUGUAUUUCUUUAGGGAUUAUAAGUAGUGAAAAUACGGAGAUACUGCUUUGCAUUAAGUUCUUAGAUAAAUUUUAGGGAAAAUAUGAAGACUUAAAGAGUAGUUGGAGAAAGGAAGAGGGAAGAAAAAAGAUAAUUUUAGAACCUGAGGGAGGUUAAGAGCUGAAAUUUUUUCAUGGAGUGAAAAAUUUAAAAGAAUUGAUGAGCUAGGACUGCAAUGUCUGGAUUUUUUUUUUAAAGCCUUAACUUGAAGGGCAACCUUUUACCUUAACAUUAAAACGUUGGGUUACGUAAAUCGAACCUAAACGUUUUAAAAGGUUGAGUUGUAGGUGAUUAAAAUACUACAAAGGCCAUCUUAAGAUUUAACUGAAGGUGGUUUCAGAAAUAAUGCCUUCAGAUUCACGGCGCAGUAAAAAUGGCGUCAUUUGAAGCCUGCUUGAUACUAAGGCUUUGUUUGGCUAA